Molecule: ribosomal RNA, 492 nt
Filed under: uncultured bacterium
Lineage: Bacteria
Description: partial 16S ribosomal RNA
Rfam family: Bacterial small subunit ribosomal RNA
Source: RNAcentral
AGUGAACGCUGGCGGUAGGCCUAACACAUGCAAGUCGAACGGCAGCACAGUAAGAGCUUGCUCUUACGGGUGGCGAGUGGCGGACGGGUGAGGAAUACAUCGGAAUCUACUUUUUCGUGGGGGAUAACGUAGGGAAACUUACGCUAAUACCGCAUACGACCUACGGGUGAAAGCAGGGGAUCUUCGGACCUUGCGCGAUUGAAUGAGCCGAGGUCGGAUUAGCUAGUUGGCGUGGUAAAGGCCCACCAAGGCGACGAUCCGUAGCUGGUCUGAGAGGAUGAUCAGCCACACUGGAACUGAGACACGGUCCAGACUCCUACGGGAGGCAGCAGUGGGGAAUAUUGGACAAUGGGCGCAAGCCUGAUCCAGCCAUGCCGCGUGGGUGAAGAAGGCCUUCGGGUUGUAAAGCCCUUUUGUUGGGAAAGAAAAGCAGCAGGUUAAUACCCCGCUGUUCUGACGGUACCCAAAGAAUAAGCACCGGCUAACUUCGUG